This 885-nucleotide ribosomal RNA is filed under the name Learedius learedi. Its description in RNAcentral is "partial large subunit ribosomal RNA". The record is from RNAcentral. Lineage: Eukaryota; Metazoa; Platyhelminthes; Trematoda; Strigeidida; Spirorchiidae.
CMCGAGUCSCGAUAGCAAACAAGUACCYGUGAGGGAAAAGUUGAAAAGUACUUKGAAGAGAGAGUAAAWCAGUGCGKKGAARCUGCUCAAAGGUAAACGGGUGGAGUUGAACUGCAAGCUCCGGGGAUUCAGCUGAUGAGUGUGAUUGCGUUCGGGCAGCUUGUCCGGCCUUCUGAUGUCUGUCUAGUGGCAGGUGCCUUCCCUUGGGGGUUGGUAUGUGUGAUGCGCUUACCAUGCGCCGCACGCAUUGGGGGUGAUGGGUCUGCUUGUCAGUGCACUUUCUCGGGGUGUUCACCACGACCGGCACAGCCGUCUGUCUGCUUUGGUCAAACUGAUCAGGUCUGGUUAUUGCUAGGCUUGGUUGGGAUGGAAGGUAGCCCGUGUUCACUUGUUGGACUUUGGGUAUAAUAAGCUGGCCACUGUGGAUCUGUAUGGUGUGUCGGAGAUGGCGGCUUUGCAUGCGUGCUCUGUCCUGCGGGCGGGAUUGAGUCCGGUUGGCUUGUUACUGACUUCGGUUAGUCGGUCGAUGGCUUAGUCUUGUUCAGUGGGCGGUUGCGUGUGUGACUUGGCUUGGGCCAAUAGUCUGUGGUGUAGUGGUAGACGAUCCMCCUGACCCGUCUUGAAACACGGACCAAGGAGUUUAACAUAUGCGCGAGUCAUUGGGGUUACGAAACCCAAAGGCGAAGUGAAGGUAAAGGUUUGGCUAGUCCGAACUGAGGUGAGAUCCCGUUGGUUUGCCUAAUUACUUACCGAGCUGUGAACAGCGGGCGCAUCACCRGCCCGUCCCAUGGCGUAGACAUGUGACCUUGUGUUAUGUGCACCGUCGGGGCGGAGCAAGAGCGCAUACGUUGAGACCCGAAAGAUGGUGAACUAUGCUGCUAAGGU